CCUACGGGCGGCAGCAGUGGGGAAUAUGGGACAAUGGGCGAAAGCCUGAUCCAGCCAUGCCGCGUGUGUGAAGAAGGCCUUCGGGUUGUAAAGCACUUUCAGUGGGGAAGAAAGCCUUGGGGCUAAUACCCUCGAGGAAGGACAUCACCCACAGAAGAAGCACCGGCUAACUCCGUGCCAGCAGCCGCGGUAAUACGGAGGGUGCGAGCGUUAAUCGGAAUUACUGGGCGUAAAGCGCGCGUAGGCGGUCUGAUAAGCCGGUUGUGAAAGCCCCGGGCUCAACCUGGGAACGGCAUCCGGAACUGUCAGGCUAGAGUGCAGGAGAGGAAGGUAGAAUUCCCGGUGUAGCGGUGAAAUGCGUAGAGAUCGGGAGGAAUACCAGUGGCGAAGGCGGCCUUCUGGACUGACACUGACGCUGAGGUGCGAAAGCGUGGGUAGCAAACAGGAUUAGAUACCCCUGUAGUC
Molecule: ribosomal RNA, 465 nt
Filed under: Vreelandella stevensii
Lineage: Bacteria; Pseudomonadati; Pseudomonadota; Gammaproteobacteria; Oceanospirillales; Halomonadaceae
Description: partial 16S ribosomal RNA
Rfam family: Bacterial small subunit ribosomal RNA
Source: RNAcentral